RNAcentral lists this long non-coding RNA (201 nucleotides) under Vigna radiata. RNAcentral's name for it is "long non-coding RNA (VRAD_LNC014048)". The record is from RNAcentral. Lineage: Eukaryota; Viridiplantae; Streptophyta; Magnoliopsida; Fabales; Fabaceae.
UGAGAUCAAAGUUUAGUCCUAACUCUAUAAAGUUCUCAGAUUGCACAUUUUCUAUCUCAAAAUCAAUACUGACAUUUUCUAUCUCAAAAUCAAUUCAAAGCUAUCAUCAUUCAAAAUUUCAACAAGGCAAUCCACAUUUGAGUUAAAAAUAACAGCAUUCAAAUCCACAGGUUCAAUAGCUAAAACUGAAUCAAGAACUUU